CAGGAAGCCGGUGCGAAUCCGGCACGGUCCCGCCACUGUGACCGGCGUCCCCAGGACGCCGGGAGCCAGGAACUG
RNAcentral lists this non-coding RNA (75 nucleotides) under Streptomyces sp. Lineage: Bacteria; Bacillati; Actinomycetota; Actinomycetes; Kitasatosporales; Streptomycetaceae. The record is from RNAcentral.